Molecule: long non-coding RNA, 610 nt
Filed under: Triticum aestivum (bread wheat)
Lineage: Eukaryota; Viridiplantae; Streptophyta; Magnoliopsida; Poales; Poaceae
Description: long non-coding RNA (TAES_LNC015733)
Source: RNAcentral
CUCGACCUCUCGCUCCCUGCUCCUCCUACCGCACCGUUCGCCGCCCCACAACCGCUCGCCGCUUCGCCGCCUUCCGCAGCCGCGUCCCUUCGCCGUCGCCCACCUACUGCCCUUCUCUCCCUGCACUUCUCCACCCUUACGCAGCCGCCGCCAGCGCCUUGUGCCCCAACGCCGCUAUCGCCAUCACCUCCUCCCCAUGGUCCGCGAGCUAGACGCGCUGCCGGGAAGAAUCCACCAUCUACGGCCUUGCGGCGCUCGCCGGGGACACCGCCGCCGCCGUCUCUAUCCUUUCCGGAUGCCUUUGUCUCCUCUCUACAGCGGCCUCCUCAUCUCUUCACGGCUGCUCCAGAGGUCGCCCCCUCGAGCAUCGCGUCCUCUUCCCCACCACCAACUCGCCGCCGCCUCCUCCCUUCGGUUCUCUCCUCGAAGCUCCAUCAAGUGGUCACUGCCGCCUGCUGCCUCUUCUCUCCUGCAGGACGACGCCUCCCCAUCCACCAUCUGCCGCCGCUGAACUGGGUGGCAGUUGCGGCCAUGGGGGAGUAGGGGUGGCAUGGUCUUCAUGGUCGUUAUGUACAAGAAGACGAGGACGGCAGUGGGGGGAACGAGCAGC